Molecule: ribosomal RNA, 449 nt
Filed under: uncultured bacterium
Lineage: Bacteria
Description: partial 16S ribosomal RNA
Rfam family: Bacterial small subunit ribosomal RNA
Source: RNAcentral
AACGAACGCUGGCGGCAGGCCUAAAACAUGCAAGUCGAACGCCCUAGCACUAGGGAGUGGCGCACGGGUGAGUAACGCGUGGGAACGUGCCCUUCAGUACGGAACAACGUCGGGAAACUGACGCUAAUACCGUAUAAUAUCUCUGGCUCAAAGAUGUAUCGCUGAAGGAUCGGCCCGCGUCUGAUUGGCUAGUUGGUGAGGUAAUGGCUCACCAAGGCUACGAGCAGUAGCUGGUCUGAGAGGAUGAUCAGCCACACUUGGCCUGCGACACGGCCCAGACUACUACGGGAGGCGGCAGUUAGGAAUAUUGGACAAUGGCCGAAAGCCUGAUCCAGCCAUGCCGCGGGUGUGAUGAAGGCCUUAGGGUUGUAAAGCACUUUCGUUGGGGAUGAUAAUGACCGUACCCAGAGAAGAAGCCACGGCUAAAUUCGAGCCAGCCGCCGCGGUAA